UACGAAGGGGGGCUAGCGUUGUUCGGAAUUACUGGGCGUAAAGCGCACGUAGGCGGAUAUUUAAGUCAGGGGUGAAAUCCCGGGGCUCAACCCCGGAACUGCCUUUGAUACUGGGUAUCUCGAGUCCGAGAGAGGUGAGUGGAAUUCCGAGUGUAGAGGUGAAAUUCGUAGAUAUUCGGAGGAACACCAGUGGCGAAGGCGGCUCACUGGCUCGGUACUGACGCUGAGGUGCGAAAGCGUGGGGAGCAAACAGG
This 254-nucleotide ribosomal RNA is filed under the name uncultured bacterium. RNAcentral's name for it is "partial 16S ribosomal RNA". It matches the Rfam family "Bacterial small subunit ribosomal RNA", at positions 524 to 776 of the family's 1533-position model. The record is from RNAcentral.